GAGUUUGAUCCUGGCUCAGGAUGAACGCUGGCGGCGUGCUUAACACAUGCAAGUCGAGCGAGAGCUAUCAAUUGGAGAGCUUCGGUUCAAAGAGAGAUAAGGAAAGCGGCGGACGGGUGCGUAACGCGUAGGUAAUCUGCCCAUAUCAUCGGGAUAACACAACGAAAGAUGUGCUAAUACCGAAUAAAAUACAUUUAUGGCAUCGUAGAUGUAUCAAAGUGUUAGCGGAUAUGGAUGAGCCUGCGUCUGAUUAGCUAGUUGGUGGGGUAAAGGCCUACCAAGGCAACGAUCAGUAGCCGACCUGAGAGCUUGAUCGGCCACACUGGAACUGAGACACGGUCCAGACUCCUACGGGAGGCAGCAGUGGGGAAUAUUGCACAAUGGGCGAAAGCCUGAUGCAGCAACGCCGCGUGAACGAAGAAGGCCUUCGGGUCGUAAAGUUCUGUCGCAUGGGAAGAUAAUGACGUACCA
Molecule: ribosomal RNA, 471 nt
Filed under: Proteocatella sp. canine oral taxon 058
Lineage: Bacteria; Bacillati; Bacillota; Clostridia; Peptostreptococcales; Filifactoraceae
Description: bacterial SSU rRNA
Rfam family: Bacterial small subunit ribosomal RNA
Source: RNAcentral